Capra hircus (goat) is the source of this 95-nucleotide microRNA precursor. Ensembl annotates it as chi-mir-182. Its record names the gene chi-mir-182. The record is from Ensembl. NCBI's taxonomy places the organism in Eukaryota, Metazoa, Chordata, Mammalia, Artiodactyla, Bovidae.
UGCCUCCCACCAUUUUUGGCAAUGGUAGAACUCACACUGGUGAGGUAAUGGGAUCCGGUGGUUCUAGACUUGCCAACUAUGGUGUGAGGGCUCAG